GGGGGGGCAAGCGUUGUUCGGAUUUACUGGGCGUAAAGGGCUCGUAGGCGGCCACCUAAGUCGGUUGUGAAAUCCCUCGGCUCAACCGGGGAACUGCGACCGAAACUGAGUGGCUUGAAGCCGGGAGAGGGAUGCGGAAUUCCAGGUGUAGCGGUGAAAUGCGUAGAUAUCUGGAGGAACACCCGUGGCGAAGGCGGCAUCCUGGACCGGUCUUGACGCUGAGGAGCGAAAGCUAGGGUAGCAAACGGGAUUAGAUACCCCGGGUAGUCCUAGCCCUAAACGAUGAAUGCUUGGUGUGGCGGGUAUCGAUCCCCUGCCGUGCCGGAGCUAACGCGUUAAGCAUUCCGCCUGGGGAGUACGGUCGCAAGGCUG
This 372-nucleotide ribosomal RNA is filed under the name uncultured organism. Its description in RNAcentral is "partial 16S ribosomal RNA". It matches the Rfam family "Bacterial small subunit ribosomal RNA", at positions 528 to 896 of the family's 1533-position model. The record is from RNAcentral.